CGACAUGGUAACAGAGAGAGAGAGAGGGGGGGUCGACAUGGUAACAGAGAGAGAGAGAGGGUCGACAUGGUAACAGAGAGAGAGAGAGGGUCGACAUGGUAACAGAGAGAGAGAGAGAGGGGGUCGACAUGGUAACAGAGAGAGAGAGGGGGGUCGACAUGGUAACAGAGAGAGAGAGAGAGGGGGUCGACAUGGUAACAGAGAGAGAGAGAGGGGGUCGACAUGGUAACAGAGAGAGAGAGAGAGAGGGGGUCGACAUGGUAACAGAGAGAGAGAGAGAGGUCGACAUGGUAACAGAGAGAGAGAGGGGGUCGACAUGGUGAGAGAGAGAGAGAGGGAAGUACAUGGUAAGAGAGAGAGAGGGGGGUCGACAUGG
Molecule: long non-coding RNA, 376 nt
Filed under: Salmo salar (Atlantic salmon)
Lineage: Eukaryota; Metazoa; Chordata; Actinopteri; Salmoniformes; Salmonidae
Description: lncRNA (ENSSSAG00000114583.1)
Source: RNAcentral